RNAcentral lists this non-coding RNA (143 nucleotides) under Wenjunlia vitaminophila. The record is from RNAcentral. Lineage: Bacteria; Bacillati; Actinomycetota; Actinomycetes; Kitasatosporales; Streptomycetaceae.
CCCGUGCUCCGCCCGCGCGGGGCCCACAACUGAAUGCGUACGCGACUGGGGAAAGCCGGUGAGAUUCCGGCACUGACCUGCAACCGUGAGCAGCGCGAACCCGCGCUGCGAGUCGGACCGCCCACCGCGCUACGUGCACUGCU